Molecule: ribosomal RNA, 494 nt
Filed under: uncultured bacterium
Lineage: Bacteria
Description: partial 16S ribosomal RNA
Rfam family: Bacterial small subunit ribosomal RNA
Source: RNAcentral
GACGAACGCUGGCGGCGUGCUUAACACAUGCAAGUCGAACGGAAAGGCCUGCUUUCCCUUGUGGAUUGCGGGUACUCGAGUGGCGAACGGGUGAGUAACACGUGAGUGAUCUGCCCCCAACUUGGGUAUAAGCCUGGGAAACUGGGUCUAAUUCCCGAUAGGACUGCAGGGUGGUGCCUGUGGUGGAAAACGAUUUUCUAGUGGUUGGGGAUGAGCUCGCGGCCUAUCAGCUUGUUGGUGGGGUAAUGGCCUACCAAGGCGGCGACGGGUAGCCGGCCUGAGAGGGUGGACGGGCACAUUGGGACUGAGAUACGGCCCAGACUCCUACGGGAGGCAGCAGUGGGGAAUAUUGCACAAUGGGCGGAAGCCUGAUGCAGCGACGCCGCGGGGGGGAUGACGGCCUUCGGGUUGUAAACUCCUUUCGACCGCGAGGAAGCCACCUGGUUGGAAGGGUGGUGACGGUAGUGGUAGAAGAAGCACCGGCUAACUACGUG